UGGGGAAUUUUGGACAAUGGGCGCAAGCCUGAUCCAGCCAUGCCGCGUGCGGGAAGAAGGCCUUCGGGUUGUAAACCGCUUUUGUCAGGGAAGAAAUCUUCUGAGUUAAUACCUCGGGAGGAUGACGGUACCUGAAGAAUAAGCACCGGCUAACUACGUGCCAGCAGCCGCGGUAAUACGUAGGGUGCAAGCGUUAAUCGGAAUUACUGGGCGUAAAGCGUGCACAGGCGGUUUUGUAAGACAGAGGUGAAAUCCCCGGGCUCAACCUGGGAACUGCCUUUGUGACUGCAAGGCUUGAGUGCGGCAGAGGGGGAUGGAAUUCCGCGUGUAGCAGUGAAAUGCGUAGAUAUGCGGAGGAACACCGAUGGCGAAGGCAAUCCCCUGGGCCUGCACUGACGCUCAUGCACGAAAGCGUGGGGAGCAAACAGGAUUAGAUACCCUGGUAGUCCACGCCCUAAACGAUGUCAACUGGUUGUUGGGAAGGUUCCUUCUCAGUAACGUAGCUAACGCGUGAAGUUGACCGCCUGGGGAGUACGGCCGCAAGGUU
This 547-nucleotide ribosomal RNA is filed under the name uncultured bacterium. RNAcentral describes it as "partial 16S ribosomal RNA". It matches the Rfam family "Bacterial small subunit ribosomal RNA", at positions 355 to 895 of the family's 1533-position model. The record is from RNAcentral.